Molecule: ribosomal RNA, 1271 nt
Filed under: uncultured bacterium
Lineage: Bacteria
Description: bacterial LSU rRNA
Rfam family: Bacterial large subunit ribosomal RNA
Source: RNAcentral
AAGCGAGUCUUAAUAGGGCGCAUAGUAGCGGGGCGUAGACCCGAAACCGGAUGAUCUAUCCAUGGCCAGGAUGAAGGUGCGGUAACACGCACUGGAGGUCCGAACCCACUAAUGUUGAAAAAUUAGGGGAUGAGCUGUGGAUAGGGGUGAAAGGCUAAACAAAUCCGGAGAUAGCUGGUUCUCCUCGAAAGCUAUUUAGGUAGCGCCUCAUGUAUCACUCACGGGGGUAGAGCACUGUAAUGUUAGUGGGGGCCAUUGCGGCUUACUGCGGCAUAGCAAACUCCGAAUACCGUGAAGUGCGAGCAUGGGAGACAGACAUCGGGUGCUAACGUCCGGUGUCAAGAGGGAAACAACCCAGACCGACAGCUAAGGUCCCAAAUGACGUGCUAAGUGGAAAACGAUGUGGGAAGGCAUAGACAGCUAGGAAGUUGGCUUAGAAGCAGCCAUCCUUUAAAGAAAGCGUAAUAGCUCACUAGUCGAGUCGUCCUGCGCGGAAGAUGUAACGGGGCUAAGCACGUAACCGAAGCUUCGGAUAUGUAAUUUAUUACAUAUGGUAGAGGAGCGUUCUGUAAGUCUGCGAAGGUGUCUGGUAAUGGAUGCUGGAGAUAUCAGAAGUGCGAAUGCUGACAUGAGUAGCGAUAAAGGGAGUGAAAAGCUCCCUCGCCGAAAACCCAAGGUUUCCUGCGCAACGUUCAUCGGCGCAGGGUGAGUCGGCCCCUAAGGUGAGGCAGAGAUGCGUAGCUGAUGGGAAACGGGUCAAGAUUCCCGUACUUUCGUUUACUGCGAUGUGGGGACGGAGAAGGUUAGGUGAGCCGGGUGUUGGAUGUCCCGGUUUAAGUGAGUAGGCAGAUCCCUUAGGCAAAUCCGGGGGGUUAAUGUCGAGACACGAUGACGGUGCUCCAUUGGAGCCGAAGUCACUGAUACCAAGCUUCCAAGAAAAGCCACUAAGCUUCAGGUAAACGAGAACCGUACCGCAAACCGACACAGGUGGGUAGGAUGAGAAUUCUAAGGCGCUUGAGAGAACUCGGGUGAAGGAACUCGGCAAAUUAGCACCGUAACUUCGGGAUAAGGUGCGCCCCGGUAGGUUGUAGAGCUUCGCGCUCGAAGGCCGAUGGGGUUGCAGUGAAAUGGUGGCUGCGACUGUUUAAUAAAAACACAGCACUCUGCAAACACGAAAGUGGACGUAUAGGGUGUGACGCCUGCCCGGUGCCGGAAGGUUAAUUGAUGGGGUGCAAGCUCUUGAUCGAAGCCCCGGUAAACGGCGGCCGUAA